GACGAACGCUGGCGGCGUGCUUAACACAUGCAAGUCGAACGGUAAGGCCCUUCGGGGUACACGAGUGGCGAACGGGUGAGUAACACGUGGGUGAUCUGCCCUGCACUUCGGGAUAAGCCUGGGAAACUGGGUCUAAUACCGGAUAGGACCACUGCCUGCAUGGGUGGUGGUGGAAAGCUUUUGCGGUGUGGGAUGGGCCCGCGGCCUAUCAGCUUGUUGGUGGGGUGAUGGCCUACCAAGGCGACGACGGGUAGCCGGCCUGAGAGGGUGACCGGCCACACUGGGACUGAGAUACGGCCCAGACUCCUACGGGAGGCAGCAGUGGGGGAUAUUGCACAAUGGGCGCAAGCCUGAUGCAGCGACGCCGCGUGAGGGAUGACGGCCUUCGGGUUGUAAACCACUUUCAGCACCGACGAAGCGCAAGUGACGGUAGGUGCAGAAGAAGGACCGGCCAACUACGUGCCAGCCGCCGCAGUAA
This 478-nucleotide ribosomal RNA is filed under the name uncultured bacterium. RNAcentral describes it as "partial 16S ribosomal RNA". It matches the Rfam family "Bacterial small subunit ribosomal RNA", at positions 28 to 523 of the family's 1533-position model. The record is from RNAcentral.